GGGGUUGUAGCUCAGUGGUAGAGCACUUGCCUAGCAUGUGUGAGGCCCUGGAUUCAAUCCCCAGCACCA
Molecule: transfer RNA, 69 nt
Filed under: Ictidomys tridecemlineatus (thirteen-lined ground squirrel)
Lineage: Eukaryota; Metazoa; Chordata; Mammalia; Rodentia; Sciuridae
Description: Spermophilus tridecemlineatus (thirteen-lined ground squirrel) tRNA
Rfam family: tRNA
About the family: Transfer RNA (tRNA) molecules are approximately 80 nucleotides in length. Their secondary structure includes four short double-helical elements and three loops (D, anti-codon, and T loops).
Source: Rfam by way of RNAcentral